AUGGAAACACCAGCUCCUCCUGAAUGUAUGACCUGCUUGGGUGACGCAUACAGGGUUUCUUGGAUGGAAGACAGUGAAACUCACAAUCUACACAAGGAAACCAUCAAGCAGCAGUACGAGGUGGUUAAAGCAAGAACGGCACCCCCAAAUGACUCCAAUAUCGGUUCUCAUGUCAUGGAGUAUGGUAACAAGACAUUCAAGGAUGACAAGCUUUUCCUUUAUCAAGGUUUCUAUCCUGUGAAGUCAAGCAUCACAAACAGGCCGCUGCUUUCGCCCAGCCUCAAGGGUGCAAUCAAUCAAAGAGAUGUUGAUAUUCUUUUCAUGUGGAAGAAGUAUGAGCAGUUAAAUGUUGGAUCAGAGGAGAAGCAGAGGGCUCUCACGGAGGUCAAAGAAACUGUGUUACACAGGAAGCAUCUCGACAGCAGUAUCGAUUUCAUCGGGAAGCUUGUCUUUGGAUUUGAGGGACCUUCGGUGCUUGAGGCUACUAAAGGCCCUGGCCAGCCAUUAGUAGACUAUUGGGAUUGUCUGAAGAUGAUGGUGCGAGAUUUCGAGUCCCGGUGCGGAUCACUCACUCAGUAUGGCACGAAACACAUGAGGGCGUUCACAAACAUCUGCAACAAUGGCGUCUCCGAGACCGAGAAGGAGGCCAGCAUCAGCGCUUGCGGAAGCUACAACAUGGGGAAGUGGAGCCCGCCGGUUCUAGGGCACAGCGCCUGA
This 717-nucleotide ribosomal RNA is filed under the name Triticum aestivum (bread wheat). RNAcentral describes it as "partial small subunit ribosomal RNA". Lineage: Eukaryota; Viridiplantae; Streptophyta; Magnoliopsida; Poales; Poaceae. The record is from RNAcentral.